This 292-nucleotide ribosomal RNA is filed under the name uncultured bacterium. RNAcentral's name for it is "partial 16S ribosomal RNA". The record is from RNAcentral.
GGACUACAGGGGUUUCUAAUCCUGUUUGCUCCCCACGCUUUCGCGCCUCAGCGUCAGUGUCGGUCCAGAGAGCCGCCUUCGCCACCGGUGUUCUUCCCAAUAUCUACGAAUUUCACCUCUACACUGGGAAUUCCACUCUCCUCUCCCGAACUCUAGCCGUCCCGUUUCGAGCGCAGUUCCCAGGUUGAGCCCGGGGCUUUCACACUCGACAAAAACGGCCGCCUGCGCGCCCUUUACGCCCAGUAAAUCCGAACAACGCUCGCCCCCUUCGUAUUACCGCGGCUGCUGGCAC